Molecule: ribosomal RNA, 301 nt
Filed under: uncultured bacterium
Lineage: Bacteria
Description: partial 16S ribosomal RNA
Rfam family: Bacterial small subunit ribosomal RNA
Source: RNAcentral
CAGUCGCCGCGGGAAUACGUAGGGUGCGAGCGUUAAUCGGAAUUACUGGGCGUAAAGCGUGCGCAGGCGGUGACGUAAGACAGUUGUGAAAUCCCCGGGCUCAACCUGGGAACUGCAUCUGUGACUGCAUCGCUGGAGUGCGGCAGAGGGGGAUGGAAUUCCGCGUGUAGCAGUGAAAUGCGUAGAUAUGCGGAGGAACACCGAUGGCGAAGGCAAUCCCCUGGGCCUGCACUGACGCUCAUGCACGAAAGCGUGGGGAGCAAACAGGAUUAGAUACCCCUGUAGUCCCUGUCUCUUAUAC